CUAGCUGUAAACGAUGGAUACUAGGCAUUGAGAGUAUCGACCCUCUCAGUGUCGUAGCUAACGCGUUAAGUAUCCCGCCUGGGGAGUACGCGCGCAAGCGUGAAACUCAAAGGAAUUGACGGGGGCCCGCACAAGCGGUGGAGUAUGUGGUUUAAUUCGAUGCAACGCGAAGAACCUUACCAGGGCUUGACAUGUCCGGAACCCUGCCCAAAGGCGGGGGUGCCUACGGGAACCGGAACACAGGUGGUGC
Molecule: ribosomal RNA, 250 nt
Filed under: uncultured Chroococcidiopsis sp.
Lineage: Bacteria; Bacillati; Cyanobacteriota; Cyanophyceae; Chroococcidiopsidales; Chroococcidiopsidaceae
Description: partial 16S ribosomal RNA
Rfam family: Bacterial small subunit ribosomal RNA
Source: RNAcentral